Molecule: ribosomal RNA, 501 nt
Filed under: uncultured bacterium
Lineage: Bacteria
Description: partial 16S ribosomal RNA
Rfam family: Bacterial small subunit ribosomal RNA
Source: RNAcentral
AUUGAACGCUGGCGGCAGGCUUAACACAUGCAAGUCGAGCGGGGGGAGGUAGCUUGCUACCGGACCUAGCGGCGGACGGGUGAGUAAUGCUUAGGAAUCUGCCUAUUAGUGGGGGACAACAUCUCGAAAGGGAUGCUAAUACCGCAUACGUCCUACGGGAGAAAGCAGGGGAUCUUCGGACCUUGCGCUAAUAGAUGAGCCUAAGUCGGAUUAGCUAGUUGGUGGGGUAAAGGCCUACCAAGGCGACGGUCUGUAGCGGGUCUGAGAGGAUGAUCCGCCACACUGGGACUGAGACGCGGCCCAGAAUCCUACGGGAGGCAGCAGUGGGGAAUAUUGGACAAUGGGGGGAACCCUGAUCCAGCCAUGCCGCGUGUGUGAAGAAGGCCUUAUGGUUGUAAAGCACUUUAAGCGAGGAGGAGGCUACUUUAGUUAAUACCUAGAGAUAGUGGACGUUACUCGCAGAAUAAGCACCGGCUAACUCUGUGCCAGCCGCCGCGGUAA